This 1247-nucleotide long non-coding RNA is filed under the name Mytilus galloprovincialis (Mediterranean mussel). Lineage: Eukaryota; Metazoa; Mollusca; Bivalvia; Mytilida; Mytilidae. The record is from RNAcentral.
GUUUUCUAUAUAAAGUUUAUUAACAUGUGUAACAAUAUUAACAAAUAUACAUCAUUUUGGCCACAUUAACAUCAUGUUUUUACACUUAAGAUCACCUGUCAUUUAAUAUUAUUAAUAAGAGGCAGAAAUAUCUUGUCAGCUUUUAUUUAGAUAUUUUUAUAUAAUACCCCUUCAUAUAAUUUUGAUACGCAAAGAAAAAAUAACCUCUCUAGCUAUUUUAACACUUAAACCUGUCUUUACAAAUCACCCUGUUAAAUAAGAACUAAUCAUCUAAUUUUUUUAAUCAUUAACAUGAUAGGAAUGCUUAACUUAAUUUACUUAUUUAGCUUGUGCAAACUAUAAUUUUUGUCUAGUCCAAUUAAAAGUAUCAAAUCUCAAAGUGCCUUGAUUAUCUAAUCAGUUCCCACUUUUGUUGUCAUUGAAUAUUUAGAUUAAGGCUGGUUAAAAUGUUAAUGAUCUCCCACUUCAAGAAUUCUAAGUCCUCCUGCUUUUUUAUUAAAUCUUAAAAAUGACAUUGUAAAAUAAUUAUUGAAUAAAAAUCAGAAAUAAGAAAUCUAAGGUUCUUGAAGAGAUAUUUGUCCUUUUAUGUCCGACCUUAAAAAGUUUACUCAAAUAAAUUCAGCAAAUUUAUUCAUAACGGAUGACAAAAAGAAAUAAAAAUAGAGUGCAAUUAUCAUAUUAAUAAUGGAAAUCAUAUUAUUGUAUAGCAAUUUAAUAUUUCCCACAGAAAGUAACCUAAAGUUAGCGUGCAAUAAAUCUUCAAAAUUCAUGACGUCAUCAACGACAAAACUUCAGUUUAAACCAAUUUUUACUUUCAAAUAUUAUAUUGCUAUACAUGUACAAUAAAAGGGUUAUUGCAUGUAUAUUGGGGAAUAUUCAUGCAAUAACCCUAUAUUACUAUUUUUUGAGGGAAUAGGUUUAAGUUAAUUUCAAUCAAUAAAAGAACCAAUUAAUGGCAGUGAAGUGAUUUGUCCCAGAUCUUGUACAGACAGACAGAUAGCUAGCUGUUAGACCCAACAUAUUUUUAUCCAUAAAUUUAAGCUUACUUUGAAAUAUAGUUAAAAUUGUAAUUAAGCCACACAAAAAAUAAUAUAAAAGAAUGAAAUAAAUUUAAGAACACUGACACAAGGCACAAACUUGCCAAACAAGUCACUGGUUCAAAUUCAACAUAGUAAAAUCAUCUCCUUGAUGUAGAAACAUAAAAAAAAACACAAUGCCACUUUUUAAAACAAAAUUUUUUAUACAAA